Molecule: ribosomal RNA, 253 nt
Filed under: uncultured bacterium
Lineage: Bacteria
Description: partial 16S ribosomal RNA
Rfam family: Bacterial small subunit ribosomal RNA
Source: RNAcentral
GACAGAGGUGGCAAGCGUUGUUCGGAAUUACUGGGCGUAAAGGGCGCGUAGGCGGUCUUGUAAGUCUUGUGUGAAAUCCCUCGGCUUAACUGAGGAACUGCACGAGAUACUGCGAGACUUGAGAUCGGGAGAGGGAAGCGGAAUUCCGGGUGUAGCGGUGAAAUGCGUAGAUAUCCGGAGGAACACCGGUGGCGAAGGCGGCUUCCUGGACCGACACUGACGCUGAGGCGCGAAAGCUAGGGGAGCAAACGGG